Molecule: ribosomal RNA, 460 nt
Filed under: uncultured bacterium
Lineage: Bacteria
Description: partial 16S ribosomal RNA
Rfam family: Bacterial small subunit ribosomal RNA
Source: RNAcentral
CCUACGGGGUGCAGCAGUGAGGAAUAUUGGUCAAUGGGCGCGAGACUGAACCAGCCAAGUCGCGUGAAGGAUGACUGUCCUACGGGUUGUAAACUUCUUUUAUCAAGGAAUAAAGUGAGGCACGCGUGCCUUUUUGUAUGUACUUUAUGAAUAAGGAUCGGCUAACUCCGUGCCAGCAGCCGCGGUAAUACGGAGGAUCCGAGCGUUAUCCGGAUUUAUUGGGUUUAAAGGGAGCGCAGAUGGUUUGUUAAGUCAGUUGUGAAAGUCUGCGGCUCAACCGUAAAAUUGCAAUUGAUACUGGCAGUCUUGAGUACAGUUGAGGUAUGCGGAAUUCGUGGUGUAGCGGUGAAAUGCUUAGAUAUCACGAAGAACUCCGAUUGCGAAGGCAGCUUACUAAACUGCCACUGACAUUGAUGCUCGAAAGUGUGGGUAUCAAACAGGAUUAGAUACCCGAGUAGUC